Molecule: ribosomal RNA, 425 nt
Filed under: uncultured bacterium
Lineage: Bacteria
Description: bacterial SSU rRNA
Rfam family: Bacterial small subunit ribosomal RNA
Source: RNAcentral
GAAUUUUGGACAAUGGGCGAAAGCCUGAUCCAGCCAUGCCGCGUGAGUGAAGAAGGCCUUCGGGUUGUAAAGCUCUUUCAGCCGGGAAGAAAAUGUACGGGCGAAUACCCCGUGCAGAUGACGGUACCGGAAGAAGAAGCCCCGGCUAACUACGUGCCAGCAGCCGCGGUAAUACGUAGGGUGCGAGCGUUAAUCGGAAUUACUGGGCGUAAAGCGUGCGCAGGCGGUUGCGUAAGACAGAUGUGAAAUCCCCGGGCUCAACCUGGGAACUGCGUUUGUGACUGCACGACUAGAAUACGGCAGAGGGGGGUGGAAUUCCACGUGUAGCAGUGAAAUGCGUAGAUAUGUGGAGGAACACCGAUGGCGAAGGCAGCCCCCUGGGCCUGUAUUGACGCUCAUGCACGAAAGCGUGGGGAGCAAACAGG